Molecule: ribosomal RNA, 532 nt
Filed under: uncultured bacterium
Lineage: Bacteria
Description: partial 16S ribosomal RNA
Rfam family: Bacterial small subunit ribosomal RNA
Source: RNAcentral
UGGGGAAUAUUGCACAAUGGGCGCAAGCCUGAUGCAGCCAUGCCGCGUGUGUGAAGAAGGCCUUCGGGUUGUAAAGCACUUUCAGCGAGGAGGAAGGUGGUGAACUUAAUACGUUCAUCAAUUGACGUUACUCGCAGAAGAAGCACCGGCUAACUCCGUGCCAGCAGCCGCGGUAAUACGGAGGGUGCAAGCGUUAAUCGGAAUUACUGGGCGUAAAGCGCACGCAGGCGGUUUGUUAAGUCAGAUGUGAAAUCCCCGGGGCUCAACCUGGGAACUGCAUUUGAAACUGGCAAGCUAGAGUCUCGUAGAGGGGGGUAGAAUUCCAGGUGUAGCGGUGAAAUGCGUAGAGAUCUGGAGGAAUACCGGUGGCGAAGGCGGCCCCCCUGGANGAAGACUGACGCUCAGGUGCGAAAGCGUGGGGAGCAAACAGAUUAGNUACCCUGGUAGUCCACGCUGUAAACGAUGUCGAUUUUGGAGGUUGUGCCCCUGAGGCGUGGNUUCCGGAGCUAACGNGUUAAAUCGACCGCCGGGG